Choloepus didactylus (southern two-toed sloth) is the source of this 1220-nucleotide long non-coding RNA. RefSeq lists it as uncharacterized. The record is from RefSeq and is a predicted model, not a curated record. NCBI's taxonomy places the organism in Eukaryota, Metazoa, Chordata, Mammalia, Pilosa, Megalonychidae. The transcript has 3 exons.
AGGGCUGGGUUCUGCCUGGAUUUGGGUUAAGAUUUAAAUUAGACUCAACCACCUGGGGGGCAGGGAGGGGACCCCGGCCUUGUUUGGGACAGGGGUGGACCUGUGCUGGGAGCUAUCUUGACAUGACUGGCCUUCCAGAAAGAUCCAACCUUUUCUGAGCACUGACCCUCCUCCCUGGGCUCCACCUUCUCAGGACUGAGCUUGUCCCCUCCGUGGGCGCCUCAGGGCAGAGGGCUCGUGGCCCAUCAACAGGUGUGGGGCGAGGUGCACCUUUCCCAAACCUGCCAGGCAGGGAGGGUCCUGGAAAGGCAGGACACGGGUGGAGUUAGAACCUGGGAAGGUCAGGCAGAUGCUCCAGUGCUGUUGAAGAAUGAAUGAAUGAAUGACAGGUUUGACCCCAUAGAAAUGAAAAACUUCUCCAUACAGAAAACGAAGGAUCAGAAAAGUCCAUAAAGGAAGAAGAGGGAGGCUGCUCUGUGGCUGUUUCUGGCCCUGCAGCUCCGGGACGCUGGGCCCUGCGUUCCUGUGGAAGGGAUUUGGGCUUGCCUUCCUGGAGUGUGGCGCUGCAGUGGACACUGGCUUUACCUUACAGCCAGCAAGCCCUCAAGAUCGCCAGGAGCCAGCGAGCAAAGGAUGCCUGGGCCACCGCUGGAAAGAGGCUCUGAACAACCAGCAAGAACCAGUAGAAACAUCUGUCUCAAAGCUCCAGAAAACAGUUAAAGGAUGCAGGAACAAGCAAACACCAAAUCAAGAAAAAGGCAUCUUAAUGCGGUGGGAUCUCAUGGUGCCCUGGCUGGCCCUUCCUCACCCCUCACCGGCUCACUGUGGGCUGGCCUGGGUCCCGUCCCCUUUGCAGAUGCCUGUGGGAGCAGAGUAACCCUGCACACACAUUGGAGCAUGCGUGUCUGGCCCAGUCUGCGGGUGGCCUGGGGACUCACUGUCCCAGAACCUGCCCUGGGUGUGGAAGGUGGCUCACCGAGCUGUCCUAGAGAACACCGAGGGAGAGCAGGCAAGUGGCUGCCUGGGGCAGGGGUUUGCUGGCUAUAGGACAUGCAAUGCAGUGCCCAGGGCCGUGAGGAAACCGUUUCCUAGGGGAGAGGGGAAUUGCUAGGGCCACAUAUGCAUGCCCAAGACAAGAUGUGGGAAGAAAUGACCAGGGUGGUCCCUGUGCUUUGGCCUGGAGCUGUUCUCUAAACUCAUUGUAAGGAUAAGUCCCAAAG